UAUUGGGCAAUGGGCGCAAGCCUGACCCAGCAACGCCGCGUGAAGGAUGAAGGCUUUCGGGUUGUAAACUUCUUUGGCCAGGGACGAUAAUGACGGUACCUGGAGAACAAGCCACGGCUAACUACGUGCCAGCAGCCGCGGUAAUACGUAGGUGGCAAGCGUUAUCCGGAUUUACUGGGUGUAAAGGGCGUGUAGGCGGGUCGGCAAGUUGGAUGUGAAAGCCCCGGGCUCAACCCGGGAAGGUCAUCCAAAACUGCGGGUCUUGAGUGUCGGAGAGGAAAGUGGAAUUCCUAGUGUAGCGGUAAAAUGCGUAGAGAUUAGGAGGAACACCAGUGGCGAAGGCGACUUUCUGGACGAUAACUGACGCUGAGGCGCGAAAGCGUGGGGAGCAAACAGG
Molecule: ribosomal RNA, 397 nt
Filed under: uncultured bacterium
Lineage: Bacteria
Description: bacterial SSU rRNA
Rfam family: Bacterial small subunit ribosomal RNA
Source: RNAcentral